This 161-nucleotide ribosomal RNA is filed under the name Escherichia coli. Its description in RNAcentral is "partial 16S ribosomal RNA". It matches the Rfam family "Bacterial small subunit ribosomal RNA", at positions 1373 to 1533 of the family's 1533-position model. RNAcentral also lists the same sequence under 4 other names. The record is from RNAcentral. Lineage: Bacteria; Pseudomonadati; Pseudomonadota; Gammaproteobacteria; Enterobacterales; Enterobacteriaceae.
CCCGGGCCUUGUACACACCGCCCGUCACACCAUGGGAGUGGGUUGCAAAAGAAGUAGGUAGCUUAACCUUCGGGAGGGCGCUUACCACUUUGUGAUUCAUGACUGGGGUGAAGUCGUAACAAGGUAACCGUAGGGGAACCUGCGGUUGGAUCACCUCCUUA